This 649-nucleotide ribosomal RNA is filed under the name uncultured archaeon. Its description in RNAcentral is "bacterial SSU rRNA". It matches the Rfam family "Archaeal small subunit ribosomal RNA", at positions 97 to 746 of the family's 1478-position model. The record is from RNAcentral.
CACGUGGCCAAACUACCCUUCGGACCACCAUACCCUCGGGAAACUGAGGCUAAUAGUGGAUACCACAGUCCGCCUGGAAUGAGGACUGUGCCAACCGCUCCGGCGCCGAAGGAUGUGGCUGCGGCCGAUUAGGUAGACGGUGGGGUAACGGCCCACCGUGCCAAUAAUCGGUACGGGUCAUGAGAGUGAGAACCCGGAGACGGAAUCUGAGACAAGAUUCCGGGCCCUACGGGGCGCAGCAGGCGCGAAACCUUUACACUGCACGCCAGUGCGAUAAGGGAAUCCCAUGUGCGCAGACAUAGAGCCUGCGCUUUUGUCCACCGUAGGGAGGUGACGAAUAAGGGCUGGGCAAGACCGGUGCCAGCCGCCGCGGUAAUACCGGCAGCCCAAGUGAUGGCCGAUCUUAUUGGGCCUAAAGCGUCCGUAGCUGGCCGCGCAAGUCCAUCGGAAAAUCCACCCGCCCAACGGGUGGGCGUCCGGUGGAAACUGCGUGGCUUGGGACCGGAAGGCGCGACGGGUACGUCCGGGGUAGGAGUGAAAUCCCGUAAUCCUGGACGGACCGCCGAUGGCGAAAGCACGUCGCGAAGACGGAUCCGACAGUGAGGGACGAAAGCUAGGGUCUCGAACCGGAUUAGAUACCCGGGUAGUC